Long non-coding RNA from Camponotus floridanus (Florida carpenter ant), 2007 nucleotides. RefSeq lists it as uncharacterized. The record is from RefSeq and is a predicted model, not a curated record. The transcript is spliced from 11 exons. Lineage: Eukaryota; Metazoa; Arthropoda; Insecta; Hymenoptera; Formicidae.
UAGUAUGAAAUAUCAGUAAUGUUUUCAUUACAACUACAUUCUUUUUUCUCUACGUUGGAGAGAAAAGGAGGAAAGAUUAAUACUGCAACAAGUGCAGCUGAAAAGAAUAGAUCUUAGAACUGUAACCUAUUUAAAUCUUGUAUUAUUGCUCCUGAAAAGAUGACAUAUCAUCUACAAAAAUAAAAAAUGUAUAUAAUUAAUUACCAUCUACCAUAAAUUGUCAUUAUUGCGUUUAAUAGCGCUAUUAGCUAGCUCCGCAAACAGCUGAUAGCGAUAAAUAGCGUCAAAAUUCGCGCCGCGAAUAGUGUCUCCUCAAAUGCACCCAUAGGCUGCGUUCCGUUUCAUGUAUGAAUGCGCAUGAUUUAUUGCUUAUCCUUGUUUAACAUUCGGUGAACAAUAAGCUUACUGACCGAAGGGAUGGAAAAGAUAUCUUCGGAUUUGAUGAUUUUGAUUAAUUAACCUAGGAAUUAUACUGCGACAUGUACUCGUAUUUUGUUGUUUUUUGGGAUGAAUGGUACAAUACCGGAAUGGUACAAUACCGCUACAAUACCGGAUUCUUGAAUUAUCUUAAAGUCUCAAGUUUUUAAAUGGCCACCCAAAAAUAAGAAUGCUACUAAUGAAAGUAAAAGAGGAACAAAGCCUCAAGAAAAGUGGAUAACAGUUCCAUAUUCCAAAUUAUUAGGACCUUUCGAUACUUUCAAAGAAGCGAGAGAAGUUGAGAACAAUACUUUAGAUAUUUCAACGAAUGAUGAAAACUUGCGGAAGUGACAAAAAAGAAAAAUACUGAGGUUUCACAAAAACGUGCAAUUCAAAAACCAUAUCGUUUUCUUUCUUCCUCUUCCAAUUCUUCUUCUGAGGAAGAAGAGGAAAGUCAAACAAAGACAAAAGCUAUUAAGAGGAAGAGUAGUCAACAUUCAAUGAACCAAACAACAAAUAAAAAUCUAAUAGAGCCAACAGAAAAUUCAUGUAAUAAUAAACCUCCAACAAAUUACAAAUCACUAAAUGCAAGAGAAUUUUGUCAUACGUCGAUUAAAGAAUCAUGGAAUGAAAAUGAUUACUAGAUUGCACUAAGGAACAAAUUUUUGAGAAAGACGAAUUUAUUUUCUUUUUCACUUUAUUCGAAAAGAUAUUUCUUUAGAAUUACAGGCUGAUAUACUUACACAUGAAGAUCCUUUAUGCAUCACGAAAACUGAAUCAAAAUCAAAAGUGUCAGAAAAACCAACAAUCAAAAAUAUUGUUGUAACAAAUAUACCAUUACUUGUUGGAAUCUUACAUAAUAAAAAAAAUGGCAAGAAUCAAUCAUGGAAUAGUGAAAAUAAUAUCCAAAAAUUACAGCUAAAUGAUCGAAAUACAGAAACAGACAAGGAACAAAAAUCAGGCAGUCAUCAUGAAAUGCAGACAUCACAAAAUACCAGCCAAAAGCAAAAAAUAGAUAAUCAUCAAGAAUGUUGCAGAGUUUGUCGGAACGAUAUUUCAACGAUUUUACGUACUGUGAUAGGAAUACGACAAAUACUUUUAGAUUCAAAUCCACACCAGUUACAAGGAGAAAAUAUUGAUUUGGAUUUGCCGAUUUUUAAUGUUAAGAAAUUAGAUGAAUUUAAUAAAAGACUUUGUGAAGAUUGUACUACUCGAUUGUAAUAUCAAAGAAUGAUUCGGACAAUAGGAGGUAUAACCCCACAUAAACAUGUACGAAACGCGAUGCGUUUAACAAUAGCUGAUACGUUAGCUUACCAAAUGACUUGGACUAAUAAAAAAAAAUAAGAUUGAAACUCAGAACAUGAAAUUCAUCAAUCUCAUUAUUGAAACUCUCGUUACUGAUCGGAAUAUUUCUAUCGCCAAUGUGCAAAAAGUAUUAAAAUCAUGGUUGCAACAUGCCGGCGAUCGAAUAAAUCGAAGACAAAAAGAAGAAAUUCAAAAUGAGUCAGUGGAUGAUUAAUACUUUUAUAAUAAUAUAUAAUAUAAUAAUAAUAAUAACUUAAUAUAAUUAUGACAUGGACGUAUCCAGAA